AUACUAUAUCACUCGGGGGUAUAGUAGUGUUUAUUAGAUACAGAACCAAUACACCUUUUUUAAAGGGUGUAGAAAAAGGUGAUUCAUAGUAACCGAACGGAUCGCAUUAUAAUCAUUUCUAUGAUUGGCGAUAGAUCAUUCAAGUUUCUGACCUAUCAGCUUUCGACGGUAGUGUAUUGGACUACCGUGGCAGUGACGGGUAACGGGGAAUUAGGGUUCGAUUCCGGAGAGGGAGCCUGAGAAACGGCUACCACAUCUAAGGAAGGCAGCAGGCGCGCAAAUUACCCAAUCCUGACUCAGGGAGGUAGUGACAAGAAAUAACAACACUGGAAAUUCUAUUUCUAGUGAUUGGAAUGAUGGGAAUCCAAACCCCUUUCAGAGUAACAAUUGGAGGGCAAGUCUGGUGCCAGCAGCCGCGGUAAUUCCAGCUCCAAUAGCGUAUAUUAAAGUUGUUGCAGUUAAAAAGCUCGUAGUUGGAUAUCUGCUGGAAGCAAUCAGUCCGCCCUUUUAGUGAGGGUGUGUACUUGAUGAAUUCUGGCAUGAUUAUCUUCCCAGUAAUAAUAUUAUUAUAUUAGGUUGAUUCCUAAUAUGGUAAUAGUUAUUUUUGAGACGACAGUUACUUUGAGAAAAUUAGAGUGUUUGAAGCAGGCUUGUUGCCUUGAAUACUGCAGCAUGGAAUAACAAUAUAGGAUUUCGGUUCUAUUUUGUUGGUUUCUAGGACUGAAAUAAUGAUUAAUAGGGACAGUUGGGGGCAUUCGUAUUUAACUGUCAGAGGUGAAAUUCUUAGAUUUG
This 792-nucleotide ribosomal RNA is filed under the name Sarcocystis fusiformis. RNAcentral describes it as "bacterial SSU rRNA". It matches the Rfam family "Eukaryotic small subunit ribosomal RNA", at positions 174 to 928 of the family's 1831-position model. Lineage: Eukaryota; Apicomplexa; Conoidasida; Eucoccidiorida; Sarcocystidae. The record is from RNAcentral.